Molecule: ribosomal RNA, 408 nt
Filed under: uncultured bacterium
Lineage: Bacteria
Description: partial 16S ribosomal RNA
Rfam family: Bacterial small subunit ribosomal RNA
Source: RNAcentral
GACGAACGCUGGCGGCGUGCUUAACACAUGCAAGUCGAACGAAGUGGCGAACGGGUGAGUAACGCGUUAUCAACCUGCCCUUCAGACGGUGACAACAGGUGGAAACGACUGCUAAUACCGUAUACUGAGGGAGGGGCUUGCGUGUGAUUAGCUAGUUGGAGGGGUAACGGCCCACCAAGGCGAGGAUCAGUAGGCGGACUGGUAGGAGGGACGGCCCCAUCGUGACUGAGACACGGCCCAGAAUCCGACGGGAGGCAGCCGUGGGGAAUCUUCCGGAAUGGAAGAAAUUCUGACGGAGCAACGCCGCGUGAGUGGUGACGGGCUUCGGGUUGUAAAGCUCUGUUAAUCGGGACGCGGUACCUGAAUAGAAAGCCACGGCUAACUACGUGCCAGCAGCCGCGGUAAUUC